This 492-nucleotide ribosomal RNA is filed under the name uncultured bacterium. Its description in RNAcentral is "partial 16S ribosomal RNA". It matches the Rfam family "Bacterial small subunit ribosomal RNA", at positions 29 to 507 of the family's 1533-position model. The record is from RNAcentral.
AGUGAACGCUGGCGGUAGGCCUAACACAUGCAAGUCGAACGGCAGCACAGUAAGAGCUUGCUCUUACGGGUGGCGAGUGGCGGACGGGUGAGGAAUACAUCGGAAUCUACUUUUUCGUGGGGGAUAACGUAGGGAAACUUACGCUAAUACCGCAUACGACCUACGGGUGAAAGCAGGGGAUCUUCGGACCUUGCGCGAUUGAAUGAGCCGAUGUCGGAUUAGCUAGUUGGCGGGGUAAAGGCCCACCAAGGCGACGAUCCGUAGCUGGUCUGAGAGGAUGAUCAGCCACGCUGGAACUGAGACACGGUCCAGACUCCUACGGGAGGCAGCAGUGGGGAAUAUUGGACAAUGGGCGGAAGCCUGAUCCAGCCAUACCGCGUGGGUGAAGAAGGCCUUCGGGUUGUAAAGCCCUUUUGUUGGGAAAGAAAAGCAGCAGGUUAAUACCCCGCUGUUCUGACGGUACCCAAAGAAUAAGCACCGGCUAACUUCGUG